RNAcentral lists this ribosomal RNA (510 nucleotides) under uncultured bacterium. Its description in RNAcentral is "partial 16S ribosomal RNA". It matches the Rfam family "Bacterial small subunit ribosomal RNA", at positions 28 to 507 of the family's 1533-position model. The record is from RNAcentral.
GACGAACGCUGGCGGCGUGCUUAACACAUGCAAGUCGAACGAAGGGCGAUGGAAGCUUGCUUCUAUCAAUCUUAGUGGCGAACGGGUGAGUAACGCGUAAUCAACCUGCCCUUCAGAGGGGGACAACAGUUGGAAACGACUGCUAAUACCGCAUACGAUCUAAACUCGGCAUCGAGGAUAGAUGAAAGGUGGCCUCUACAUGUAAGCUAUCACUGAAGGAGGGGAUUGCGUCUGAUUAGCUAGUUGGAGGGGUAACGGCCCACCAAGGCGAUGAUCAGUAGCCGGUCUGAGAGGAUGAACGGCCACAUUGGGACUGAGACACGGCCCAGACUCCUACGGGAGGCAGCAGUGGGGAAUCUUCCGCAAUGGACGAAAGUCUGACGGAGCAACGCCGCGUGAGCGAUGACGGCCUUCGGGUUGUAAAGCUCUGUUAAUCGGGACGAAAGGCCUUCUUGCGAAUAGUGAGAAGGAUUGACGGUACCGGAAUAGAAAGCCACGGCUAACUACGUG